AGUGAACGCUGGCGGUAGGCCUAACACAUGCAAGUCGAACGGCAGCACAGUAAGAGCUUGCUCUUACGGGUGGCGAGUGGCGGGCGGGUGAGGAAUACAUCGGAAUCUACUUUUUCGUGGGGGAUAACGUAGGGAAACUUACGCUAAUACCGCAUACGACCUACGGGUGAAAGCAGGGGAUCUUCGGACCUUGCGCGAUUGAAUGAGCCAAUGUCGGAUUAGCUAGUUGGCGGGGUAAAGGCCCACCAAGGCGACGAUCCGUAGCUGGUCUGAGAGGAUGAUCAGCCACACUGGAACUGAGACACGGUCCAGACUCCUACGGGAGGCAGCAGUGGGGAAUAUUGGACAAUGGGCGCAAGCCUGAUCCAGCCAUACCGCGUGGGUGAAGAAGGCCUUCGGGUUGUAAAGCCCUUUUGUUGGGAAAGAAAAGCAGCAGGUUAAUACCCCGCUGUUCUGACGGUACCCAAAGAAUAAGCACCGGCUAACUUCGUG
Molecule: ribosomal RNA, 492 nt
Filed under: uncultured bacterium
Lineage: Bacteria
Description: partial 16S ribosomal RNA
Rfam family: Bacterial small subunit ribosomal RNA
Source: RNAcentral